AAGAAAGUGGCAGAGUGGUAAUGCAGUUGGCUUGAAACCAUCUUACGGGGGUUCAAUUCCCUCCUUUCUCG
Molecule: transfer RNA, 71 nt
Filed under: Sundasalanx praecox (dwarf noodlefish)
Lineage: Eukaryota; Metazoa; Chordata; Actinopteri; Clupeiformes; Clupeidae
Description: tRNA-Ser (UCN)
Rfam family: tRNA
About the family: Transfer RNA (tRNA) molecules are approximately 80 nucleotides in length. Their secondary structure includes four short double-helical elements and three loops (D, anti-codon, and T loops).
Source: RNAcentral